GCAUGGUGGCUUUUACUCUAGACUGGAGGUUCUAACCCCAAAGCCUUCAGGGAACAGACGGAUAACAUAAAUCACAUAAAUGAGAACAUGGGUGGAGUAGGAAUUGCUAGGCCAGGUACAGAGGCCCAGUAUUACCAGGUCUUCUGUUUUAAGGAGAAACCAAAUAUACAGAUUUGUAUAAAACCUCACUAAUUCUUCACUUAAAAAAUUUUGCAAGAGGACUGUUGUUUUAAAUUUGCUGGUAUAUACAAAAAAUCCACAAAUCUGUUAAUUGUGCCUAUCCUAUUUUACCCUUUUCCUCCCCCCUAGGCUAUUUGCUUCCUCAUUAAACUAGUGAACUCCAGAAGAUUGUGAUGAUGAUGGCAACAUAGUUCUUAGAUUUCUCCAAAUCUCCACAUUAAAGAAAAAAUAAAGUCACAGCAACUAGACAUCCAAACCACAAACUCCAACAUUCAAGUGGUUGGGGAAAACCCUUUAACAACUUCGAGACCUGCCUAGAAUUGGCAUCUCUUCAGGAGAAAGCAGAGACUGAUCAAACUAUCCAAAGACUCUACUGGUCUCUCCUUGGAAGAUGGAGCCUGGUUACCAGCUUUCUGGGACCUAAAUAAAUAAACAGGCCUGAAAGCUGUGUGUACCUCUGACUUCAUGGUGUUUGCUUGCCUGUGACCCAGAAGAUAGCAUCACGUCAUGGACCUGAAACCCCAGAAAGUGCAGCUUGGUGCAGAGAAGACUGUGCAGGUAUCUGCAGGUGACCCUGAUUCUCACUGGGGCUCCCUGGGCUGAUGCCAAGGCUGUGGCCCACUUUAGAAUGGCUCUGUCCUCCGGCCUCAAAGUUCUUGGAUACACUUCCUGGGACACUACGUGGAAUGGGUUAGGAGAACCAGAUCCCCUCUGGAUAGGGGACGAAGGCAUUUGAGUAACAGCAACAGCUUUCUGGGUCAAGAGUCUGCACACCAGCCUUGGAGAGAGCAGCCCCUGCCUCCAGACUGUAAGGGCUGCCCCUAUGGGUUAGGAAGAUCCAGGGUGUGAGUCUCCCUUGGGAAAGGCUUCCUUCCCAGAGACAUUUUCCUAGUUUAUUCUAUACUUAGACGUUUGAUAUGGUUUGGCUUUGUGUCCCCACCCGAAUCUCAUCUUGAAUUAUAAUCUUCAGGUAUUGAGGGUGGAUCCUGGUGAGAAGUGAUUGGAUCAUGGGGGCGGUUUCCUCCAUUCUGUUCUCAUGGUAAGUGAGUUCUUAUGAGAUUUGAUGGUUUCACAAGUAUUUGGCAAGUUCCUCCUACACUCACUCUUCCCUCUCCUAUUGCCAUGUGAAGAAAGUUCUUGCUUCCCCUUUGC
Molecule: long non-coding RNA, 1332 nt
Organism: Cercocebus atys (sooty mangabey)
Lineage: Eukaryota; Metazoa; Chordata; Mammalia; Primates; Cercopithecidae
Exons: 3
Source: RefSeq, a predicted model, not a curated record